GUCAUACCGGUGUUAUGUUCCUUGAUUUUGCGUCUCUAACACGGUGAGGGUUUAUGGGCCCCUCUUGACAGUUCUCUUUGAAUAAAUCUCUUCCAGCAAGGCUCAAUAUUGGUUUUACCAUUUUCCGAAUAAUAACUAAAACUUGCAUUGGGACUUGCCGGCCCCCAAGGUCCCUUAAUCAACCCCCGGGCCAGUGCUCCACAUGAGUGUUGUUCCACCUACCUAGCAGUUGGCGGUGCCACAUCGGGGCAACUCGAUGAUAUUUUGGCUACCAUCCACUUCGCAUAGACGGUGUUGUCCUGAGAACGAGAUACGCGCGGCUCCUAUCAUGGUAUCGACGCAUCGGGUGGUCUUGCUGGUUUUGUUUUACCAUUGUCGAAAUGUCUUGUGCACUAGGAUUCCAUGUCUGAUCGGAGGGUUUCGCGAUGGAGGAUUGUCUCCGCGGAUCAUGAGCUUGUCAUGGGCUAAGUUCGGACACCCCUAUAGGUUUUAAACUUUUGAGAGUCGUGCCCGCGGUUAUUUGGCAGAUGGGAAUUUGUUAAUAUCCGGUGGUAGUGGACUUGAACUAAACUCAAUUAAAAUACACCAACCGCGUGCGUAACCGUGACUGUCUCUUUUUGGGUGCGUUCGAAAAGAGAACACAGUUGGAUUAUGUUUGAACGUAAGUAGUUCAGGAUCACUUCUUGAUCAUUAAUAGUUUGCGACUGUUGCAUAGUUUCUCAUCUUAUUCUUGUACUCGUAAGUUAGCCACCAUACCAUGCUUAGCCGUUUGCUGCAGCCUCACCACUUAUCCAUUCUAUUUCCAUUUAGCUUUGCUAGUCUUGAUACCCACGGUAAUGGGAUUGCUGAGUCCUCAUGGCUCACAGAUGACUGCAACAACAGUUGUAGGUAUAGGUAAUGCGGAUGAUCUGACGCGAGUGUGAUGCUUGCUUGUUUGGAGUUCUUCUACCUCUUCUUCGUUCAAGGGAUAGGUUCCGGGUCAGGGAACCUGGGAUUAGCAGGGUGGAUGUCGUUCUUCUUUUUUCUUUGAUUUCAUCCGUAGUCGAAUCCUGCUCUUCGGUAUGGUUAUUGCUAUGUAUGGAUGAACUAUUUUAUUGAAUGUUGUAGCUUGUGGCGAGUGUAAGCCUGUAUCUUGUAUUCUCAUCUAUUCAGUACAUGGUAUGUUGUAAUGAUAUCCACCUUGCUAUGCGCUCGAAAUGCGGUUGUGCCCCAAUCAUGAGUUCAUCACGUGAUUGGGAUAGAAUCGCAUCUUGGGAGCUACAGAUGGCCUCCGUCCCCAAGCUCGCUACCAUAGUGUGUGUAGAGGACGAUGACCAUGAGCGAAGCCACUUCCUGCCGACCCUCAGACUAAUCCAUGUCUGGGUUGAAUAAGGAAAGGAAGGGAGAAAGUACUGUCCAAGAGACAAGGCAUCGAACCCGCAUCUAGGUUGAAAAGGGGAAAAUCAGUAGCAAAGGAACGAGUCUCGUGUCUCUUAAUUGAAAAAGGGUAGAAAGGCAUCACAACGCAAUAGAAAAUGACCAGGUCGAUUGGUUUGUUGUCCUCACAUAGGAAAAAGGUGGCUAAAGAGAACAAAAAUGGGACAUAAUCCACAUAUGCUGCCUGGAUAUUUGUGGCUCUGGGCUAACCAUGAAGGAAAAAUGCCCUAGAGGCAAUUAUAAAGUUGUUAUUUUAUAUUUCCUUAUAUCAUGAUAAAUUUUUAUUAUUCA
Molecule: non-coding RNA, 1707 nt
Organism: Triticum urartu
Lineage: Eukaryota; Viridiplantae; Streptophyta; Magnoliopsida; Poales; Poaceae
Source: RefSeq, a predicted model, not a curated record